This 449-nucleotide ribosomal RNA is filed under the name uncultured Soehngenia sp. RNAcentral describes it as "bacterial SSU rRNA". It matches the Rfam family "Bacterial small subunit ribosomal RNA", at positions 936 to 1382 of the family's 1533-position model. The record is from RNAcentral. Lineage: Bacteria; Bacillati; Bacillota; Tissierellia; Tissierellales; Tissierellaceae.
AGCAUGUGGUUUAAUUCGAAGCAACGCGAAGAACCUUACCAGGGCUUGACAUGCCUCUGACUUUACUAGAGAUAGUAAUUUAUCCUUCGGGAUACAGAGGACACAGGUGGUGCAUGGUUGUCGUCAGCUCGUGUCGUGAGAUGUUGGGUUAAGUCCCGCAACGAGCGCAACCCUUGUAUUUAGUUGCCAGCAUUAAGUUGGGCACUCUAGAUAGACUGCCGUGGACAACACGGAGGAAGGUGGGGAUGACGUCAAAUCAUCAUGCCCUUUAUGUCCUGGGCUACACACGUGCUACAAUGGUCGGUACAACGAGCAGCAAGCUAGUGAUAGCAAGCGAAUCUCUAAAAGCCGAUCCCAGUUCGGAUUGUAGGCUGCAACUCGCCUACAUGAAGUCGGAGUUGCUAGUAAUCGCGAAUCAGCAUGUCGCGGUGAAUGCGUUCCCGGGUCUU